Molecule: long non-coding RNA, 17387 nt
Organism: Camelus dromedarius (Arabian camel)
Lineage: Eukaryota; Metazoa; Chordata; Mammalia; Artiodactyla; Camelidae
Exons: 3
Source: RefSeq, a predicted model, not a curated record
AUUGGAGGAGAAAAAUACUUCCUGUGUUAUACCUUCUCCUCCCCCUCUACCCCUAGGCUAGCUGUGUUUCAGCUAUUCGUACAAAACUCAGAUAUGUGUUAUGGGUGGAACAGUUAGAAUAUAUAAUUAGAUGAAAUAAAACCCUGGUAUUGAGGGGUUGUAUAAGGCAACCAUGUCCAGUUUCCAGAUUUUAAGGUCUCUAAAAUUAUUUUCUUGUUGCUUUCCUCCUCCCUUUUGAGGGAGAACUUUAGCUAGCCCCAGUGUCUUCAGGUUUCUUUGGUUUUUACUAUAAGCUGUUGCUGUGGACCUCUGGUUGUUUAGUGUUGACUUUUGGAGAAGGAACAUCUUGAACCCGUUAACAUUUGUGCCUUAGACCAUUCUUUCCAUACUCAUAACCGGGGGCAGGGAGGGAGCGUGGUUGUUUGACCGUGGCUCUGACCUUGGGGAGUGGAGUUGAGUGGAUACUGUUUGACCACAGUUAAACUGUACUGUUGAGGAAGUGACAGACGUUCUUACCAGGAGAGUUUUCUGUCCCCUCUGAGACACCAUCUGCCUUCACCCAUCCGCAGUUUGGGGACACUGGCUGCUCAUUUUCUUGGAUAGUUGAAAUAUUGUAUAAAUGCUUCAGAACAAAAGCCCUCAACUUCUGCUCCCUAUUCUGUUUAAUAGACAUGCAAAGCCACCCUCUGAAAUGCCUUUGGGUGGCAAUUCAGAUUCCUAUUGUGAUUAACAGGAGACAGAUUUGGAUGUUCUCCCCCCUUUGAAUCCUUUUGAAAGGAAAGAUCCAGCAGUAUUUUAAAUAACACUCAUAGCUUGUCCUUCUCAGGUUAGAAGUGGGUGAAGAUUGAAGUCUGAGUCUGUUUUGACAGGCAGCCUGCUCUCAGAUCUUACAAGUUGACUCAACUGUUAAAUUGCAGAUUUCCCACACAUCUUUGUGUAAAAACUUAAUAAUAGAGGAAGAAAGGCAGGAUGAGGCAUUCAGAGACUGACAGCAGUGUCAACAGCACUUCCAUAUCCAAAUACCGGCUAAGACAUAAUUACAGCUGUGGUGGUGGUGGUGGGGAUCUGGUUCAAAGAAUGCUGCUCCAGAGACACACACCAAAGAGACUUCCAGAUCGUGAAUCUUGAUUAACUUAACCGUAGGCGCUGAGUAGUGAAAUGAUUUUCAAAACCAGGAGUGUUUUGAUUAUUACGCAAGGAAGAUGUGACAGGACGGAUGGCCCCACUGGGAAGGUGCCUGAAGAAAAAGAGAGGAGACCUCUGCUCUACACAGGGUGUUGGGCCAUUCCUGGCGAUUUAGGGCAGAGAGCUGCACGGCCGCAGCAGGGCCUCUGAUGGGGGUUCUGAUAUCUGUUAUCUCACAGCUCCCAAUGCUGAUGGGAGGUGGUGGCUGCCCAGAUGUCCUGCUCCCUGUCUGUGGUCUGGUGACCUCUGAGUCCUCUUAAGUGAAAUCAGUGCUUAAAAAGAUAGUCCCAGCUCACCCUGCUGCUUCUCUGCCUCCACCUGAGAGGUCUAACAUUUAAAUGCUUUUUGGUGGGUGCUGUGACCUCACCUCACCAUCUCUCCUGGCUGCUUUUGCUAAGUUCUGAGUCAUAGUCAUACUUCAGUUCAGAGUCAGAAGGGACUUCAGAGGUCAUCUCAUCUAACCCCCUCAUUUUGCAGAUGAGAAAACCAAGGCCCAGAGCAAAGACUUGCUUGAGGUAAUGUCACCAUGAGAGAGGUGGCAGAGCCAGGACUGGAACCCAGGACGCCUGACUCUCGGUCUCAGGCCUCUUCCCACUUGGUAACUGCACUGACGUCAGCAGGCACGGACCCCAGACGGGGUGCCGCACCAGAGCACCUCAAGCCCGAGCAGCCAUCCUCAGUGCGGGCCCUCCGUGACUGUCGGCCCGGGGGUGCUGGCUGGGUGGGUACCUACCACCUCCCCAGCAGUGAUCCCCAGAGUUGGAGAGGCAGCUUCUCAUCCAACUUAGCAGCCCCAUGAGUUUUGAAUCUGCAGUAACAAGCUUUUUUACCACCCCUCCCUUUAAAAAAUGUUUGCUAGAAAUCUUAUUUAUUAUUAUUUUUGUGCAAGAACAUGAGAAUUCUGUUCACUGUUUCUUCAGUAGGGAUGCCUAGCCUCAACCCACUUGUGCAGUGAUUGGUUGUAUUCCCUGUGGGGUUCCUCAGCUGCUUCCUCCUUCGUUGUGUCAUGGUGACUGUUAGGUAUUAGCUGAACAAAUUUAAUUAAAGCCAGCACUGUUGUCCCUCUCUGCUGUGUGACUCUGAUUAGGUGAAGCGUGUUAUUGCUUUACAAAAUAUAGAAUGUUGUCAUAACUUAUCACUGUUUGUCUUUCCGUUGUAUGGAUUAGAGCAAAGUCCUGUUCCUUCUCCUUGCCUUUCCCCAGCAGUCCUCCCUCCCCAGGCGACGUAGUGUCACUGCCAUGGGGCUUCCUAGCUGUUCUGAAGGGGAGCUGAUCAGAACCUCUCGUGGUUGGUCUGGACAUGUCAGAGGGCGACCCAGAGCUCCCACAUCCCCCCAGCGCAGGCAGCAUCCUCCCCAGCAUGCCUCAUGCUGUGUACCUGUCAGGGAGCAAGAGGGCUUGGCUAGGUGAGGGGCAGUGUCCCACAUUGGGGUUUGCUGCACAGACUCACAAGAUGAGGAAAGGUUCACUGACCACACUAGCCUCUUUUAUAUCCACUGUGGUUACUGGUAGUUAACAGUUCACUGAGCAUCCUACGAUAUGCUUUGUUGUAUGGAGAAUACAGACAUUAAAAGUGGCCUUAAGAUUUUGCAGGUCAAGAAGCUGAUUUGGAGAAGGUGAAAUUAACAAAUGUAAUCUAGGGCUGCACUGUCCAGUGUGGUAGCCAACACCCGUGCAUAGCUAUUUAAAUUACAAUUAGCCAAAAUUGAUUAAUUAAAUUAAGCUAAGUUAAAUUAAAAAACCAGUUGCUAGCCACAUGUCAGGUGUUCAGUAGCUACGUGUGGCUAAUGGCCACUGGAUUGAACAGCAGAAGUUCUUUUGGACUUGGCUGGUCUAGGGGUUAAAUUCUGUGCUUGGGGAUAGAGGAGGUUUGAAGGAGGGAAAUCUGUGAGGACCGAAGGAGCCCCUGAGGAAUGAGCGCAUCCGCGGGAGGUGAUGGUGAUGCUGCCCCUGGGGAGAGCUGAAGGGAGGGCGCGGAUCAGGUUGGUGAGCAGCAAGUGGGGCUGGUGGCUCAGAACUGAGCCUAACCCAGCUUUGUGUUAGAAGCAGGUUUUAAAGUGUUUGAGAAGCAUGAGGUAAACUAACAGGAUGUUUGUUACAAGGAAAGGUUACGAAUCUCUGAGGUUGGGCUUGUGGUUUUUUGAGGGAAGGUCUAGUUUUUGGGACCCUGCCCCUCGCUUUGGGCCCUGGCCCUGGCCCUGUCUACUGCAGCAGGCUCUUGGCAGCCACUGAGGCAGGAUCAAAGCUGGGUCGGCUCAUGGUUCUUUUUCCCUUGUGAAUUCUGGGCUUUGAUAGAGCUUGAAAAUAAUCUCCAGUUAAGAAUGUGGGAUCAGUGGCUGACAGAAGAGGGGAGAAAAGCGGCCCCAGGCCUCAGGCCCAGAUAUUGGUGGGUGUCUGGGAAAUGAAGGGGCUCCUUUGUGGAAGAUGAAGGUAUUGGUAUUCGUGAUUAAGAUGUUUUGACCUCUUGGAAUCUGAGGAUUUGGGCCAUCAUCAGUUGAUGAUUUUACUUAAGAAGCAGGUGCAGGAGAUUCAGAGAGCGGCCUGGAGGAGCCAAGCUUCAGGACUGCUGGAGGCAAACUUAAUCCCUGGCCACAUCCUGGGGAUCGGGGAAGGCCCCCCUCCUCCAUCCCCUCCAGAGCCCAGGAGUGUGUGGGGUCUGUGCCAGGAGGAAUGUCAGCCCUGGCCGGGAAGGACAGGGCAUUGGCAUGUGAGUCCUUUCACGAUUCCCAAGUGGCCCUCCUGUGCUCUGAUGCAGGAUUCUCCCUGGUGGAUUGAUGUUGGUGAUACAGGAUUCACACUUUCCUGUCUCCCUCCUCUGCUUCAGGCCUUCCCAAGGGUCAUGUGGGGUCUCCUCCUCCCUGUGCUGCCCCUUUCCAGGUGCUUCAGUGUCCUGGACAGAAGUGGGUGGGCAGGGCAGAGCUGCUCUUUGUGUUUGAAGAGACCGCAGCUGCUCUUGGUAGUAAUAAUUUAAGGCCCGGUGGUAAAGGGGCCCACACCUCAAGGCUUCUUAGAGCUCACAGCACUUCCUGAUCAUCUUUCUUGACUCCUUCCAUCUCACCGAGGAGGAGGCUGGGCUAGUCCAAAAAGGUCCAGCGGCACAUCCAAGGUCUGACCUGGUUCAGCAUCAGAGCCGUGUCUUGGGACCUGGUUCCCUGGGACUUCCUCUUGCUCUGGGUUCCUUUGGUUUUUUGGUUGCUAGAGGCAGGAGUACUUGAAUUGUAGACCUGGCUGUGUAACACUGAUCUCCACUAACUGGUCACUGGGAUCUUUCUACCUUAUAAACGGGGACAUUGGUAAAGAGAAGGAGCCACACCACUGAGCAGCUUGAUGUACACCAGGUAUGCAACCAAAUUCAGAUUCUGUACCUUUCCCAGUCUUUAGGGGAACCUGAUAUUUUGUACUUUAAGAUAUUGUAUGCCUGUGAAUAUUUAGGGAUGAACCUGUUACCGUGGGUAAUGUGCUAGAUUAGAAAGGAAGAAAAAAGAUCUAGGCUUGGUGCCCUGCUAAGUAGUUGUGUGACCUUGAAUAGGUCAUUAAAGUUUCCAGGCCUCAGUGCACACCUCAGAGGGUCAGGCUAGCAGUGGCUCCUUGGACGCGGCAGCAUGGAUAGUGGAGGGCUGUGCUGGAGGCAGGAGGCUGAGGGCAGGCUGGAUAGUGCUGACUUGCCCCACGCUUGACCGUCGGCAGCACCUGGGCCAGCGAGGAUGCCCUUUAGACAGGCUUACUCUUGGGCUCCGGGGCAGCCUCUGUCCAGGUAAUUAGCAAUCAUCACUGACCAGCUGCUCCUUCUCUUGUGUGAAGACUUGGUAAGUGUUCCCGCUAGUGCCUCGGCAGAGAGGAUGGGCUGUGUAACUCCGUGAAGUGUGCAUCCAUUCUUUCCCUGAAAUCAGAAGACUCAGUGUAGUGGUGGCUCAGCAUAGAGAUGGUGAUUCUUUAUUUUCCCCAUCUGAAACCCCUUCCCUUUUUUUUUUUUUUUAAGUGAAAGCAAAUUUAUUUAGAGAUAUACAUUCCAUAGACAGAAUUCAAUCCAUCUCUGGAUGGAGAGCGGCCUGAAGUUCCUUCCCAUUUGAAGUUGUGCGGCCAGACACGGCCGCUGUGCUUGGCUGUGGAGGCUGCGUGGGCUUGCACAGGGGCACCUGGCAGAGGGUGGGAGUGAGUGUGGCUGGGUCCUUCCAAAUGGGUGCCUUCUUCUGAUUCACUUGAAGUUCUAGUAUGGACUUGGGGCUGUUCUGAGGUAAGGGUUGGGGACUGAUCCUCAGAGCUGAUGGGGAAGUGAAGAUACGUCCAGGUAGCACUUCUUACCUGAAGGACUGGGUACGAAGGGAAUGAAGAAGCAAGAGGAGAGGGAGAUGCCUGGUGAUGUUUGUUCUCUUUUCUCUUCUUCCUGCCCAUUCACGGCUAAAGCAGUGGUUUCAGUCCUGGAGCUUUGUCCUGAGGUCCUGAGUGCCAGGCAGAAGAUUUGGUUGGAGGAAGAAGAGACACAGUGGAAAGGGGGAUAGAGUUGUGCUCAGCCUCUGGCAGUGUAGAGUUCUUGGGGUCUUUAUUCUCUGAUCCAGUAAACACCUCUGUGUGCCAUCUGGCAAGUGGUAGAAGCUGGGAUGUGGCUUCAAGGUCAACCUUUAUCUGCAACUGAUGUUCCCUUCUGAGACCAGCCAAGCUGUGUGUUUAUUCCGCUAGGAAUCUGAGCUGUCCACAUGGGUCAGAUGAUGAAAGGGCAUCUUACUCUUGAGGGAUGUUUCCCUGCAUCUCCAUGGCCGGUGUCCAUCCAGGACUCUUCCCGGGAGGUGAAGAAGUAUGACUAAAGGCAGAAGCCACAGGACCUCCAUUGGCAGCCUUUUCUAUCUCUGAGGAGACAGAGGAACAAAGGAUCCUGAGCUGUACUGUCGAGGUCUUCUCUGUUUGGCUCGUCUCCGUGAUGGUUCUUCUUUUGAAUUUGAAGCAGAGGUGAAGUCUCUCCAGUCCCAGGUGGUGGUGGGCGGGGGGCCUAAGAGGAGGCUGCCUGAUGAUCCCUGGCAGGUGACUGAAUUGACCACGUUGCUGCCAUUUUGAUUAUUCGUAUUAUUACGAGGCUCCCAGUCCACACUGGACAUUUGUGACCUGGCCUCCCGCCCAGGGCCCAGAGCUGUCAUUCAGCCCCUCUGUCCCAACAGCUAAAAAUAAAUGUGCCACUGCUGCAGUCUCCCCUCACAGCCCGGCCCUGACGUCUGCCCAGGUCUUCCUGCCGCACUGCUGCGCUUUCUCUCAGUACGCACUUGCACCCCCUCCCCAUGCAACCCCCCCCUUCCAGCCUGAGCUCUGUGGGUGGUUUGGGGCCAACUCGCUUUUCUGAGUGCUGAGAGUGAGCUGUGACUGCUGCUUCUCCAGGCGGCACGGCUUAUGUACGGAGGCUUCCUCCGUGGAGCUGGGGAAGGAUUAAUUAGCCGGGCAGGAGGGUGAGUUAGACUUUUUGUGAUGCUUGCCUCCAGCUCUGGCUCCUCCAGGCUCCACCUGCCGCAGGCCUCCCCAGCAGGAGGUGUGUGGGGAUGAGUAGGAGAGCCCCGCGUGAGGCUGUCCCAGGCCCUCACCCCAGCUGCCCUGCCCCGGAGCGUGCCACCUGCCCCAGGACUCCUGCCCUGUUGCUAAGCUAUACUCUCCACCUCCGCAGAGUGGGGCUUCAGGUUACCGCAUUCACAUGUGUGACCUCAUCUCAUUGGCUUCCAAGAAUAACUAGACCCUGGCUCUUGGGGCCUCCUUCAGAAGUGGGUCUGUGGCCCCUCUGGCCCUCCCAGCUCAGCCACCUGCAGGAUGUCACAGAAAGCCUGGGUCUCUGCUACCUCCUGACUGUGGUGGGCAGGGGUAUUGGUCAUCUCUGUCCCUUGAGGUCCACUGAAAUGGCCUCUUCUCUGUUGCCCACGGGCCCUGGAGCGCUCACCAUAGGACAAGGUGAGGAAGGGGGCUCAGGUGGCUGGGGUACCUGCUUCACUGAUAGAUACUGAGCAGGGGGUUUCCUUCAGUUUGACUUUGGCAUUCUCUUCUCUCUGAUUUUUCUAAUCCUUGGACAGGCAUUGGUACUAACCAUGGCAUAGGUGGGCUCCAUGUCUGUUUUCUGGGAUUAGGGUUUAUUUGGGAGAAGGGGUGUGUUGGAGAGAGUGAUGGGAGCUGAAGUAGGACUUAGGGGACCCUCUGCCUUCAGCUAGAGUUACAUUCCCAGACCAUGUCUCCAUGACUGCCUGCUCCUGUCUGUCCCCCGGGGCCUCAUUUCCUCUGCAGGGAGAGAUUUAUCUGCCAGGGCCCAUUGGCCCCUGGAGGGGAGGAGUUGGGUGUAAAUUGCUAAGAGUUUAUUUUUAACUCUGAUAGGAGGAGCCACUGUCCUUGGAGUAGCGUGCCCUCCCUGUUCUCUGCCUAUCCCGGGUCUCCUUGCCCAGCUUCUGUAAUUCCUAGAGGAAGGCUAGUAGGAAGGCCAGCUUUACAGGAGCCUUAGGUGAGGGAAGCCUUUCUGAGUGAAGAAUCUGCAGAUUGCUCCUCAUGCCUGAUUUCUGCUGGGUUCAAAGGGUGGGAGAUGGGACCGGAGGAGGAGGGGGAGCCCUGGGGGUCUGAGGCCAUGCGUGUGGAGCUGAGCAUCCUAGGAAUGCAGGUGGACUGGUGAGGAGACCAGCAUGCUGCUUGUUGUGCUGGCCGGGGUAGCAAGGUCACCUUGCAUCUUUCCUGCUCCUCUCCGUGCAGAUGCCCGGAUCUGUGGACAGCUGAAGGCCACGGCAAAUGAGUGUGUAGAGUAACCUGCCUUGUAAACUCUCACGUUUACAGAAACGGCAAGUUUUGUUAUUCCCUGGGACUGCCAGGCUCACCAGCACCAUAUCCCUUCCAUUGGAGCCUGUGUGGGAUUCCCAGGGAAUUUGUUGCCUCUGUGUCCCCUCCCCCUGGCCACGCUCCAGUCACCCAUGCUCUUAGGGAGGACGAAGACGAGUGUGCCUUCGCCUGUGUUUCAACUCCCCUGAUUUCAUGGACUUCUUUUGGUUACCUUGCUUUAGACUUUUUAAAAGAAAAUAAAACUUGAGUUUGAGGUGUAAUUAGAGAAGGAAGGAUAGAGAGUGGAGUUGGGGGCGGGAUGGGCAGUUGAACAUGUGGUCGACCCUGAGGUCCUCAGCCAUGGUAUGAAGGUCUCGCCCCCUCAGUUCCUCGGAGAGCCCUGGGGACUAGUUUGCCUAAAGCCCGACUCUUAUCCUGCAGCUUCCCAGCUGAAACCCUUGAGUGGGUUCCUUUUGUCUGCAGGAUACGGGGUAUUUAUUUCCAGAUCCUUCUCAGAUCUGAUCCCAAUCCGUUUUCUCCUAAAUGUAUGUUACAUUUCAGCUUAAGUGGCUGAUAUAUGAUGUUUCCUCAUAGGGGUGUGCUUCCAAUCCCCACACCUUCGCCCAUGGUCUGUAUCCCAUUUGUCCUGUGUCUUCUUUGCCAUCCCCACCCCUGUCUGUAUCUGUACACACUCUGCUCUCUCACGAAGCCUUUCACGCUAGAAGCGGGUCUCCUCAUCCCUCCCCUCAUACUUACCAAGACACUCUUACCUUUUAUUUCACAUUAUAAAUAUAUCUCUCCACUUGUGAAGUGGAGAUAGUGGAUUGUAAGUUCCUCGAAGACCCACAACUCCAUUAUUUUUGUAUCCUCUUAUUUCUACGUAGUGAAAAUCUGCUGUCAUAAAAAAAAUGCAUAGAGUAUUCUGACAUUGUGCAUUAUAACGAGCUGCCUCAUAAAAGCGUGGUAACUAUGUAAGUAUACGGUGUGAGCAGUGAUCCUUAGCGCUGAGCAGGGUGGCUCUGGGGGAGGGACCAUGUGAGAGUGAGCCAGGGGAAGCUGAGGGUCCCGCUAAGUGCUUCUUCCCACUCUUCCUACUGUCUGCAAAACGCCAUUCUCAGGACAGUCUCCCUGGCAUUCUUCCCUUCACCCGCUCGGAUCUGCUGACUCAAGCUGGCACCUUGUGUGCUCACGGAGUUCUCUUUCUUGUAAGGGGCCUGACCACAGUUUCCCAUUGAUGCCUCUCCUCCUCUUCCUCCCUGUUCCAGGGCCCCUCCUUUUCCUGUUGCACUGUGGAGAUGACCCUUCUGCCCCUGGGAGAACUUUAACUGGGGGAGGGACAGAUGUGAAGCCUGCCAGCUCUCCUCCAGUUCUUGGCAUUUGCUAGUCAGUCCAGACACAGCAGAGACACACAGAUGCAGUCCGAGGUGAUCUGUCUGCCGGCCUUGCUGCUGUGUUUUGCAAGCGGACCAGUGUUGAGCACCAAGUUGCGGGGACUGAGGGCUGCAUGCCAGCAGAUGGUCAUCUAGGCCAGUGUCUCCCAACCAGUUCGACUGUCAGAACCACCCGUGGGUAACGCUGGAAAAUACUGUUUCUUGGCCCCACUCUUUGUAUCUCAUUGAGUCCAGGACUGUAUAUAGAGGUGGUGUUCAGGAACGUGUGUUUUUUGUCUGAUAAUGAUCUGUGAUCUGUGUUUGGCAACCUCUUGAACCUAUUCUUAAAUUCCUCCAGUGUUGGGGGAGCUUACCCCUUUUAAGAAAACCUCACUAUUAAAAUUUCUCCUUUUUGUUUUUAAAGCUUUAUGUUUAUUGAGUCAAAAUUUGGCUCCCUGGAGUUAUACUGCCUCUUGGUGCCAGUGGUGUUUUCCAGUGCCUCACAGAACCCAUCAGUCCCAUCCUCCACACUUGGUCUCCUGCAGGUACUUGGCGAGACCUGUGGCGGGCCCCUCUGCCAGCCUGGCGUCGUGGCACAGUUGCAGAGGGCUUGACCUGCCGGGGGCCCUGGAGAGAUGCAGAGAUGGGCCGUCAUUCCCAGGAUCCUUCUGAUUGUCAGGCCUUGCUGAGAGAUUGAGGAAAGGUCCACAUCUCAUUGGACCCUGACAGUGGAGAGUCCCGAGGGUCGUCCAGCUGGUACAGGCCACGCAUACCUUCCCCCCUCUAUGUACUGCUCCAUAGGAAAGAGUCCUUGUUUCUCUGCAUGGUGAACACUUAGUUUUUGAGGCCGCUGAUCAGGUUUUCUUCAGAGGCAUUGAGAGACUCAGACAUUUGUUCCUAGUUAGAUGCGACCAAAAACAUCACUUCUGUUUAGAAACCUUCAGUAGCCUUGCCUUCCCUCAAGUGGAACUUGAACUCUUGAACAUGGCAUUGAGGCAAGCUGGCUUUGACCUUCCUUUCCUCCCCUACCCCCCCGCCCCCAACACACACACUCACCUUUCCAGGAGGGGCCUCCAUUCCACUCUGCAGUGCAUUCUUCUGCUUCCGUAUCUCCUUUUGCACCUUUCACUUGCUCAUCCUUCUGUUCCUGGUAGAAGUGUGUUUCUCCUUUGAGGCUUAGCUCUUACCUGCCCCUCACCCCCAAUUCGAGGCAGAGGGAAUCCCUCCCCUACAUGGGUGAUAGUUCACACUAGCUCUGUGACUGCUGUGAGUUCAAAUUAAUGUCAUUCCCCACCCUGCUAGACUCUGAGCCCCUCAAGGACCAGACUGUCUUCUUUGUUUGAUAUCCCCUAGUGCAGGCCCAGCGCAGGCCCCUGGCCAAGGCGCGGCGUACACGCAGAAGUGGGUUCGCUUCCUGCCUGCCUGUCUUCUUCGGGAUUCUGAUGAGGCUGCCCAAGGGGAGCUGGAGCCCCCUUUCCAGCACCAGCAUUCUUACCCCUCAGCAGCCCCAGUCCUCGUCAGCAUUGAGGAGAAAAGUGCUGUUUAGCAGCUGAUAAUUAAGCAGAACUGGUGCCUUGGCUGCCUUAGAGGCAGAACUGGCAUUUAAACAAUAAAGUUUUUAAAGUCAGGAAUUAAAAGUGUCAGCGUCAGAAGCAGCUACAUCCAAACACAAGCCCUCCCAGUUAGAGAAGAUAAGUGGAGUAGUGGAGCCAAGGAAUUCCCUGUGGCCUUGAGGAGCCCGGGGAGGGCGGCAUGGUGCUGUGCUGGCAGGAGCCGGGAAAGGGGCCUGUUUCUGCUCUCGGGGGUGGGGUCUGGGGUUUGGGGAAAUGCGGCCGGGGGUGGGGGGUGUUGCUUCACUAGAAAGGGCUGUCAGUGUUCCCUUUCACUCCCAGUUUCUAUAGAUUGAACUAGUUUUGCUAGGUGAACAAGAGGAGAAAUUUGGAAAAAUAGGGUAGGGGUAAACUCUGGGCUUCCCCUGAGGUGGUAAAGCACACGCUUUUGCAUUCAGUGAUGAGCGAAGACUACUCAGUGUGGCCUUGUGGUAGCUCAUCUUGCUUUCUUCUGAUGCUACUUGGGUUGGGAGGGGAGGCUGACAAAGGACUUCCUCCCUUCCUAGGUCAGAACCAGAGCAUGAGGAGUUCCCCAGCCUCUUGUUGGUGCCCAGAUACUAACCACAGUCUCCAUCUCCGCUGAAGGUGUUCUAAGAAAUAUGCAUGCCAGGAACAGUCCGUGGCUUCAGAACACGGGCAGAGGCUUCAAGAGGCAGAGGCUUCCUGUGUGAGGGGCGGGGCGCUGCAGCUUGUCAUCGGAGGUGGCGAGGGGUGGGGGGGACCUGCCUCUCUGCUCAGCUGCAGAGGUCAGUGGGAGACGCCUUUUCAGAGUCUGCUUUAUUGUAAAUGAAGCAGAAAGCCCACACCAGGAAACCAUAGAGGCCGCCGAAGGGGCUUUUCUCUAAGUUCACCCCUGGGUACACAACCUCUAUUUUUCCCACCCAAAAUAAGGUCCGUCUGACAAACAUUUUUUUUUUUUUUAGGGGGAGCUACUUUCAGAUCCAAGAGACAAUCGGAGCUAUCUAGUUUGAAUAUAAAAAUACUGGCCUUUCUGGGAGAUGUUGACGUUUCAUGCCAUGUACUGAGUGUCUGUCACUCCCAUGAUGGGAGGAGGGUUGGGUGAGAACCCUUGCUGGUCGGGCUUGGUUAGCCCACUAUUCCUUUCAGGUUUCUCUGUUGGAAUUAGUGGCAUUAGUGGCUGAGCUCACUCAGACCAUGUGUGAUUCAGAUGGCGGUGACCUCUCACUGACCACAGGUGUGCACGUUGACUGCAGUCACCCAGUUACCCAUACAGCCAAAUGCAGAGCAGUUGGGAAAGUCUAGGGGGAGACUUGCUAAGGGAAUAAAGCCAGCUGGCUCAUCUGGAGUUGGACCCUUGUCCUUGGUGACAUAUGCACAGAUGAGUCACAGUCAAGGUUGGCCAGAGUGUGUGCAGAGAUUCAUUCCUUUUGAUGAAGUUCUGAUGGUCCCUGCAGAAGCUUUAUCGCCAGUUGAACUGAAUUGUGAAGAUACAACAGUGCAUGGGCGCUCAUUAAUCUGUUCAUUCAUCUGUUCCCUGGAAGCGUAUUGAGGGGGAAACAUGUAAGCAAAAUAUUCCUUACAUAUUUCAAAUGGUAGAAGAGCUGUGUCCCAGGGACCGGGUGAACAUGGCGGAAAGAGCACCCCAUUUCUCCAGGCACCGGACAAUGUUGGAAUGUCUUGGUGGAAUGCCAGUCCUGAGAUCCUCUGUGAUCGGAUAAAUCUGGGACACAUUCUGCAGUACACAUUAGCAUUCUAAAGACUCUGAGAAGUUCUGUAGUGAAAGAAUCUAUUUGACAUUGUAGAACCUAGUGCUUCUGUCAUAUAUAGGGCCCCUUUUUCACCUGUCACUUAUCAACAUCCUACAGUAUUCUAUUUGAGAAAUGGCAGGAUAAUCUCCCUGCUCUGGGAGAACUGUCCAGUGAUUGAGAGAAAAAUUUCUCCUGACUCUAUGUCAACACAGGUUUGAGAGGCUUAGAAAAUAGUGUGUGCGCGUGCAUGUGUGUGUGCGAGCGUGUGCUGGGGGUGUGGCAGAGAAGGGCCCCCGGCAGGUGGCUCCCAUUGAAGUUGGCCUGUCUGCAUUCCUGCUGGCUUUGUGCUUCUGGAGAAGGCUUUUGUCCCGGCUUGAACAUACUGAAUAGCAGCUACAUCUGUCGUGCCUGGGAAGCGGCAGUGUGUGGCGUGGGGGGAACAAGCCGUGAGCAGACCCCCCUGCUUGAGGCCCAGGCUGUGGAGAGCGCCUGGCCAUCUCAGAGAGGGGAGGGGCCGGUGAUCGGGAGGCAGCAGCUCGCUGGUCCUGGAAGUGCAGGGGCGCUAGAGUCAGCCUCCUUGUCUCUGUGCCUUCCCCCUGUCCAAUGGGGAGGUAGUGUUGAACCUUGAGGUGGGAGAAGCAGGUGGGCUGGGUGUUUUCUGCCCUCCCCUCCCACCAAAGCGCAUCUGGAGGGUGGUCCAGGGAGGGAAGGCACUUGGCUCUCCAUCACCCAGGGACACUAAGAUGAAGGCACUUUGGUUUAAAUUUAAGGAAGAAUGCAGCAUUGUAGAGUGGAUUUAGUAAAGUCUGUGGAAUUUUAAAAUACAAGAGUCCUGGCUAGAAUUUGUUUUCAGACUACUGGUGAUGGGGAUGGCCGGCUCCUGAGAAAGUCCUGGGUAGCCUCACCGGCUUCCUCACAUGAAACAAACACAAGCCCAGGGAGUUCCCAAGCGCACCGUGGGCCUCUGUGCCCUCUGGGACAAGGACAUCAGUCACUGGGGAAGAGGGAAGGUUGAUGGGGAUCAGUCCCUCUUCCUGGGGAUUAUGCACUUCCUGAGCUCAGUGUCCUGAAGGCAGGCCCAGGGUUUUCUAUCUGUUUGUAUGUGAGUAUUUCUAUUUUGUAUGCUGUGUCUCCUCUUUUGAUCUUCCCAAAGGAAUGGGAGUUAGUCUGUCCUCAGGAACUAGGGUGAGCGAUCCUUUACCUCCCAGCUUCUCUGGCCAUCUCCCUGCCUUCUGCAGCCAUGGCCACAGUGGCCAGGAGGCCUGGCGUGGCUCAGAUGGGGGAGGAGCAAGCCUAGGCCGUCCGAUUGUUGCCUGUGUUAGUGGAGAAGGGCAGAUGCUGCCCGCAGUUCCCCCUGGACAGGAAGUCUGGGUGGGCCGGGCUUUGGUUUGGGAAGCAGGAGUAUUAGCUGCUGCUGCCAACUGGGGUGGUGUUUGCAGACUCCCAGGCUCCGGCAUCCCCGGAGGGACCAGCUGCCCUGACCCCCGAGGACUGGCGGCCCCCAGGGAGGGAGCACUUGCCAGGAACCUCUGAGCUUACUUGAGAGUCUGUUGGUGCUGGUCAUUGCCCAUCUGUUGUUGAGUUCAUGUGUCCACAAGAAAGUGUGCCAUUGCGUCGCCUCCUUGUCUCCUAGUGAUAAACUCAUGUGACAUUUACAGAAAUAGCUAAUCAGAAGAGGAAAUUGUACAACACUGAUGAAAUUUCAGCAAAAAAAAAAAAAAAAAGAAAGAAAGAAAAGUAAUGCUGGAAGUGAAAUUCCACAACUGAACAUAAAUUGAAUUAUAGAAUAAAUAGCUGAUUGUAGAAAUGUCGGCAUUGCCACUGUUUGAGACUUUAUGUAUGCAGCCAGAGGAACUCCGUGGAAACACUCAUUGACACAGAGAUUGUGACGCAAAGGAUGAAGAAGUCCCAGAGGAAGUGACUCUGGGGAAAACUUCACAUUGAAGCCACUCUUGGAGGUGUUUUGCAACACUGAACGCGCAGAGGAUAAAAUGUUGGAAAUGGAUCCAAAUUUUGAAAGGAGUGUGGCAAUUUGCAAAGGCGUGGAAAAGACACUUGUUCCGUAUUGUGUGAAACAACGAGAAGGCAAGCACUGUUCAGACUCCUCCGGGUGAGAUUUCACAAAGAAAUAAAAUGGUCAUUCUCGGUGUCUCUGGUAUUUUUUAGUUACAGUGUAUUAAAUAAAUAUUAGUUUUACUGUUUUUUUCAUUUCUUUAUUCAUUUAUAACUGACAGUAAAAGAUGUUUUGACAAAAAUUUAUAAAGGUCAUAGAACAAUCUUAAUUUGUCUCAUUGAUGAAUAAGAUUGUUCUGCACAGUCAUUUGUACGGUUCCACAGUACUCAGUAAAGCAAAGGCUGUCUGUGUUUACAAAAGUGUGGGUGGACACACACACACACUUACUUCUGCUUUUUCUUUUUUGUUUUUCCAAAACAUUUUACAAAAAUGGGACCAGACUAUAUGUCUCAGUCUGCAGCUUGCUUUUUUCAUGGACGAGUGUCUUUUUUGGAGGAAUUUUGAUCUUAGUAUGUCUAGAUCUCCCUCACUGUAUUUUAUAAUUGCAUAUUAUUAUUUAAUGCACCAUUAUGGAUGUACUAUAAUUUAUUUGACAAGUUUCUAUUAAUGGGCAUUUAGUUUCUCUCUCUGUUUUUUUUAAACUCAUUUAACACACUUGACCCGUAGGGGUGCUGACCCCUGUGCAGUCAGAAUCCACUUUGCAGUCGGCCCUCUGUAUCUGCAAUUCCACAUUGACCAUCCAGGAGUGCUGUCGUGCUGUAGGAUGUAUUUAUUGAAAAAAAAAAUCUGCAGAUAAGUGGACCUGUGCAGUUUAUACCCAUGUUGCUCAAGGGUCAACUGUAAUGCUAAAGGGAAUAUUUCUGACAUUAUCAUUAGCCCCAUUGAAUGGAUGAAAACAGUGGAGAUUAGAAAGUGAAGUAACUGCCCAAGGUCAGGCAGCUGCUAAGCUUAGAGCUGCCUUGAAUUUAGGGCAGUCUAAUUGCAGGGCCCUUGCUUUUAACGACAGUACUUUAUAGCUUCUCUUCGAAGUAGCUUUUAAUAACAACAAAAUCAUCAACAAAUAGUAGACUUUAUUGAGUGAGGCACAAUUCUAAGUGCAAGUACAUUAUUAUUAACUGAACAGCAGCCCUAAGGGGUAAAUACUAUUAUUAUCCCUGUAUUGCGAUGAAGGAGACUGGAGGUAGAAGGUUGGGAAAAUUUACAGAUCUCAUGAUUAGUUAAUGGAAGACCUGGGACUCGCCCAGGCAGCCGGGCUUCACAGACUUCACUCUCACUCACGGAUCUCACUUGAGAAAGUUCUCUCUCAUCGCUGUCUUUUAUAGAUGAUUUUUUUGAGCCCUAACGUGUGACUUUUUUAGGGGGUUAGUUUCAGCCCAUAUUUUCACCUAUUGUGAUCUUUUAAAAAUCUGUUGCCGAGCACACUCCCAGUUUUUUUGGUCACUUGCUGGUUUGAGGAGCUUGCGGUCUAUUAUGUCUUCAUCACGCUUGUUGGUAAGAUGCUAGGCAAAGUCAAAGAUGGCACAUUCCCUGGUUUGUCACUGGAGGGGUUCUCUGGGCUUAAUCAACAGGCAAAUAUUUAUUGAGUACGUCCAUAAUGCCAUAUAUUAGACCCAGGAUUAGGAAUCAAAAGGUGAACAAGACAGCGUCCUGAUCGUCAAAAGGCACAAGGUCUACACAGCAGGAGGAGGGCCCAUCUUGUCAAUUACACCAGUGACCGUGAAGUAGGAAUUUAACAAGAGUUGUGGGAGCAGAGAGGAAAGAGGGAUUGACUCUGCCUGGAAGUUGUCAGGGAGGCUUCACAGAGGAGGUGACAUUGCGCUGGUGCUUGAAGGAUGCACAGAAGGGAAUCCUGACAAGGCAUGGCUGGUCGGAGGACAGUGACGUUGAGUGUAGCUUGGAUAGGGAGAAUGUAUAGGGAUAAGGAAUUUGGGUUUUCUCCUGUUAGCCAAUGGACAUGUUUAAGGAAGAAAAUGUCCUGCUCAAAUUUGCCUUUUAGAGGUUGAGGCAGGAUGUUUGGGAGCAGAUUAAGUCAACUGUCUAGAAACCAGUUAGAAAGCACGUGAGCGAAAAGGGAACCAAGCAAGUGGCAGCAAGACUGGCAAAGGGAAGAUGGGUUUGUGAGGUCUUUCCAUAGGCAAAAUUGGCUUGGUUCAGUGCGUGAGGGAGGGAGACUGGAGAUGACUACGUCAAGGUCUACGUCUGGGAGCCUGGCUAGAUGGUGACGUCACUGUCAGUUGCCGAGGCUGGGCGACGGGUCAGAGGGAGCAGUGAGUUCAGUUUGGUGUGUGUUCAGCCUGCCCUCGGUCCACUACAUGACACUUCGCUAUUGGUCGCUUAUAACGAUUACAGAUACUAUCAAAAUGCUUUGACAUCUCACUCCUUCUUUCUCUGUCAUCCCAAAGGUCUGGCAGGAGACUUUAUCCAUAUACUUUGUAGAAGUCAGGGACCCCUGUAUCUGUUAUUUCCUUAGUAACCCUGCUAACAAAAGGUAAUAAGACAAGUGUGUCAUGGCUUCCCGGGGAACCAGGCUGGGUUGUGAUGGUCUAAUUCAUGAUCUGCAACAGAGCUUUGCCAGAGACAGACGUGAAGUUAAGUGGUCCUCUUAUUAACAAUUCUGUUUACAUAUUGUUUCUUUUUCCUUGACUCUGCUUCCUUCACUAGACUGAACUCCUUGAAUCCCCGAGUGUUCAGUCUGGUGCCUGGAGCAGAAUGGGUACUGAGGGGAUGCUAGCUGC